Suricata suricatta (meerkat) is the source of this 417-nucleotide long non-coding RNA. RefSeq lists it as uncharacterized. The record is from RefSeq and is a predicted model, not a curated record. NCBI's taxonomy places the organism in Eukaryota, Metazoa, Chordata, Mammalia, Carnivora, Herpestidae. The transcript is spliced from 4 exons.
UCACCCCAAAACCUCAUCAAAGAGAGUUUAAGUAGCCUGUUCCAGGGCACACAACUAAGAAGUCAUGACAGGAUAUGAAGUUGGCAGUAACUUACCCUGUCCUGGAGUAGAACAUCUGAAUUCCAUGACCAUUCACUUAAGCAGGGAGAAAGGAAGACAGAAGAGACAUUCAGUAGUCAAUGCCUGGCAGAGAUAUUUGAUACAGUGACUUCCAAAGAAGCAUUGGGAAGACUGGAGAAUUCCUUGUUCAGACUCUAGAAGAGGGCUUUCCUAGCAGAGCCACUCCUGCAGGAGCAAAUAGAGGCUGGCACACAGGAGAUUCCAUUUGUCUCGAAUGCACAUGAGCUGAAACCAAGGGGCAUCCAAACGGGUGAAUCUGGCAGCCAAAGGCAACGUGUUUAGAUGAACAUGUGGAUC